Molecule: ribosomal RNA, 253 nt
Filed under: uncultured bacterium
Lineage: Bacteria
Description: partial 16S ribosomal RNA
Rfam family: Bacterial small subunit ribosomal RNA
Source: RNAcentral
CACGGGGGGAGCAAGCGUUGUUCGGAAUCACUGGGCGUAAAGCGCACGUAGGCGGAUGUGUCAGUCAGGGGUGAAAUCCCGGAGCUCAACUUCGGAACUGCCUCUGAUACAGCACGUCUUGAGUCCGGAAGAGGUGGGUGGAAUUCCUAGUGUAGAGGUGAAAUUCGUAGAUAUUAGGAAGAACACCGGUGGCGAAGGCGGCCCACUGGUCCGGUACUGACGCUGAGGUGCGAAAGCGUGGGGAGCAAACAGG